AACGAACGCUGGCGGCAGGCUUAACACAUGCAAGUCGAGCGCAUCCUUCGGGGUGAGCGGCAGACGGGUGAGUAACGCGUGGGAAUCUACCUUUUGCUACGGAAUAGCUCCGGGAAACUGGAAUUAAUACCGUAUGUGCCCUUAGGGGGAAAGAUUUAUCGGCAAGGGAUGAGCCCGCGUUGGAUUAGCUAGUUGGUGGGGUAAAGGCCUACCAAGGCGACGAUCCAUAGCUGGUCUGAGAGGAUGAUCAGCCACAUUGGGACUGAGACACGGCCCAAACUCCUACGGGAGGCAGCAGUGGGGAAUAUUGGACAAUGGGCGCAAGCCUGAUCCAGCCAUGCCGCGUGAGUGAUGAAGGCCUUAGGGUUGUAAAGCUCUUUCACCGGAGAAGAUAAUGACGGUAUCCGGAGAAGAAGCCCCGGCUAACUUCGUG
This 433-nucleotide ribosomal RNA is filed under the name uncultured bacterium. RNAcentral describes it as "partial 16S ribosomal RNA". It matches the Rfam family "Bacterial small subunit ribosomal RNA", at positions 29 to 507 of the family's 1533-position model. The record is from RNAcentral.